This 259-nucleotide ribosomal RNA is filed under the name uncultured bacterium. Its description in RNAcentral is "partial 16S ribosomal RNA". It matches the Rfam family "Bacterial small subunit ribosomal RNA", at positions 29 to 314 of the family's 1533-position model. The record is from RNAcentral.
AGCGAACGCUGGCGGCAGGCUUAACACAUGCAAGUCGAGCGGGCGUAGCAAUACGUCAGCGGCAGACGGGUGAGUAACGCGUGGGAACAUACCUUUUGGUUCGGAACAACACAGGGAAACUUGUGCUAAUACCGGAUAAGCCCUUACGGGGAAGAUUUAUCGCCGAAAGAUUGGCCCGCGUCUGAUUAGCUAGUUGGUGAGGUAAUGGCUCACCAAGGCGACGAUCAGUAGCNGGUCUGAGAGGAUGAUCAGCCACAUU